Molecule: long non-coding RNA, 2368 nt
Filed under: Sorghum bicolor (sorghum)
Lineage: Eukaryota; Viridiplantae; Streptophyta; Magnoliopsida; Poales; Poaceae
Description: long non-coding RNA (SBIC_LNC012084)
Source: RNAcentral
CGGAAACAUACUUAUAAUUAACACUUACAUAAGAGAAUCGUAACACAAUAACUAAUCUUCAGGCUCAAUCUUCACAGGGACGGCUGACUGGGGGUAACAUAUGCCUAGCACUUCUUGUAUUCUGAGAACAUCCUUCAUGAUUCCAUCGCUCUCCUCAUCAACUCUUACUAGUAAACUGGAGUGGUGGGAAAUAGCAAGAGUGAGCACAUAUCGUACUCAACAAGUAUAACCAGGGAUUCAUGAGGCUCAAAUGGCUGACACUGGUUUAACUGCAUUUAGCUUUUAAUAGUGGAGAGCAUGUUCAUAAUUUAAUAGCAAUUGUCAAGGUAGCAGUAAUAAUCCAUUAAUCACAUGAUCAAGUGUAAGCAUAAUUAAUUCUUAGCAUAAACGAUAAUCAAAUGAACAUAACAACUUAACAAGCUCAUCGUCGUCGCAGCAAGAACCCCCAAGGCCGCUCUUAACCGUGAGCACGGCUAGUAUACUAGUUUUAACACUCUACAGAGGUUGUACAUCUUUACCCAUGAGUCAUGAUUUACCCUUUCGCCCGAGGUGAUCAGCCUCUUAACCCACUCCCAAGGAAGGUCGGCAGGGAUCACUAUGAAGCCUUUCAAAAGUUCGUCUAACAUGUUAGGGCCGCAAGGUUUCCUUUGCGAGCAGAUAUAGAUACCCCAGGGGCUCGCACUAUACCCGUGUCGGUUCAGCCCCUCCGCCCUUUCGGGUAACCUCUAACAAGCUAGAAAAGGUCUUCAUACUAAGCUAAAGCCAGAGCCAUUAUAGCCCUCUUGGUUGCACUGUUAUCCCGGUGAUCACUUACAGACAAGAUCUCAUAUAGUUAUUUGUCAUCUUUUAACGUUUAUUGCAUAGCUAUUAAUCAUCUUACAAGAUCAUGGAUUAUAUCAAGCACUAGCACAUCUACACCAAAUGCAUAUCAAGUAGGUAGUAAGGAAUCCAGGAUAACAAACAUCUAUGAUUUUGCUAAGGUCGACAAGGUGAUAGCAUGCAUAUGAUAUAUAUGUGUAGUUAUAAGUGAAUAGGUAACAAGGAUGAUCCCAAGUUAUACUUGCCUUAAACACUUGCUUACUCCUCACAUCAUCAGCUUUCUGUCAUCAUCUUCUGAUCUUCAAUGCCCACAAACAGUUCUCGUCUACUUGCAUCAAGCACCACGCAUAGGCAAACAUACAAAGCAACAAAUAAAAGCAACUAAGAACAAUACACCACUCAAGACAAAACAAUAUACUAAAAGAGAACUAGUUCUACGGUCACAGGAUCGCAAGAAACACUAAUAACGAAGCCAUCAUAAUAAAUAAAUGACAUCAAGAGAUUUAUAUUACAUAAAAGAAACAACUACAAGCUUGAUUUAUUUUAGUUAAAUAAAACCAUAGAAAAUUUACUUAUUCAGAUUAGAUAAAUUAUAUUUAAACUUUAAAAAGUGAAAGUUAAUUAAUCAUGUUUUAUUUGUAAAUAUUAAUGUGUAGUUCAUUUAUCAAGUUAAAGUAGACAAGUGACAGCACGUGGAACAAGUUUACACUAACCAAAUUCAAUUUAAAAACACAUUUAUGUUGCUAAUAUCCAAAUUUACAGUUAGAUAUAAAAGCUCGACAUUGUCCUAUAUUGCUUUUGUUUAGCAACUAAUUUCAUGCACAUUGAUCCAAUUAAUGUUUAACUGUAAACACAAAAACUUAUGGCCUGCUAAACGUACUGUAUAUUAUAUCAAUAUAAAAUUAAUCAACAAAAAUAGACUAGCAUAAUUAAAAUGUCCGUACGAUGAAGGGUUAAAGCUGUAGAAAUUUUGUGGGAUUUACUAACAAGGAGAACCUGAGUUCACUAGAGAUGUAGAUACGUACUGUGCUUGGUCAUAUCGGACGGUUUCUCGGGCGGGCAUGUCCCAUACGUGAUCUGCUUUGCUGCUUACUUUGCUUGAACUACAGGACAACAAUGCUGUCAUUUACUGAAGAUACGUAGGCACAAAAGCUAGUGACUGUGCUGUAGAGAAUAGAUUAUGUAGGGAUACAAGGAGAUUCUCACCAAGGCUGAAGAUGAACGAACGACAGGCACAAACUUGUUGGAUGAGAACCAAAGAUCGAUCAUGGCAGCCUGGAGCGGCAAGAAGGGCGAUGAUCUGAUGAGGUUCGUGGUGGUUAUAGAGGUCUUUGAUGCGGAUCCAGCGGAUCGAUCGGAAUCAAAGGCAGCUUGACCGUGUCCAUCUUGAUGAAUCCGGCUUCUGGAGAGUGCACCACCGGCGGCUUGGACUUGCUCUUCCCAUGACCAAAGCUAGGAGAUUCAGAAGUCUAGAUUGAUCUAUGGCCUUUACGGACCACCAUCAGUUUGCCCAGAGCUAAGAUUAUUGUUGAUGGCAGCGGCACUUAUG